GUAGGUGGCAAGCGUUGUCCGGAAUUAUUGGGCGUAAAGCGCGCGCAGGCGGUUCUUUAAGUCUGAUGUGAAAGCCCACGGCUCAACCGUGGAGGGUCAUUGGAAACUGGAGAACUUGAGUACAGAAGAGGAAAGCGGAAUUCCACGUGUAGCGGUGAAAUGCGUAGAGAUGUGGAGGAACACCAGUGGCGAAGGCGGCUUUCUGGUCUGUAACUGACGCUGAGGCGCGAAAGCGUGGGGAGCAAACAGGAUUAGAUACCCUGGUAGUCCACGCCGUAAACGAUGAGUGCUAAGUGUUAGGUGGUUUCCGCCCCUUAGUGCUGCAGCUAACGCAUUAAGCACUCCGCCUGGGAGUACGGCCGCAAGGCUG
RNAcentral lists this ribosomal RNA (370 nucleotides) under uncultured organism. RNAcentral describes it as "partial 16S ribosomal RNA". It matches the Rfam family "Bacterial small subunit ribosomal RNA", at positions 527 to 896 of the family's 1533-position model. The record is from RNAcentral.